GGUCCAUGAAGCUCAAACCUACAAUUUUCUAGUGAUGGUUAUUGUUGUAAUUCAAAGAUUUAGUUACGACAUGCGAGUCGUGACAAAUUGAUUGGGAUUGGUUAGAGGUGAGGAGAUAAGAAUGGUGGUGUAUUGUGUGGUGCUUGAGGGCAAGCGCAAGAUAAGUGUGGGGCAGUUUGAUAGGGUAUAAAAACAACACCCUUGUCACCUACUUUUAUGUGUUCAAAAUGAAUUAUUUGUUGCUUGAUCAAGUUAUUUUAUCCAUUUUGAUGCAAGACAGGAGUUAAAACCUAAAGCCAGGAAGAACAAUAGGAAGCAAGGGCGAGAACUACAAAAUUACCAUAUGUCAUGUACUUAACCUUGGGCAAGGCUAAGACACAACAGCUACAACAUGUAUUGGCCCCUGUACACACCCUUGCCCAAGGGAUACAUUUAAGCAUAAAUAGGAAAACACAACCAAUCCUUAGGCACGGCUUGUAGCCAAGGCAGUAGGAUGGGACACAAGUUAUGAUCCACUAAGCCUUGGCCAAGGCCAAGGUGACAGUUAAAUUAAAAAGGUUCGUGUGCAAUGGAAACAAACUUUUCCCUAGGCUUUCAC
RNAcentral lists this long non-coding RNA (598 nucleotides) under Carica papaya (papaya). Its description in RNAcentral is "long non-coding RNA (CPAP_LNC004434)". The record is from RNAcentral. Lineage: Eukaryota; Viridiplantae; Streptophyta; Magnoliopsida; Brassicales; Caricaceae.